CCUGGCUCAGGACGAACGCUGGCGGCGUGCCUAAUACAUGCAAGUCGAGCGGACUUGCUGGAGCUUGCUCCAGCAGGUUAGCGGCGGACGGGUGAGUAACACGUGGGCAACCUGCCUGUAAGACUGGGAUAACUCCGGGAAACCGGAGCUAAUACCGGAUAGUAUCUUGAACCGCAUGGUUCAAGUUGGAAAGACGGUUUCGGCUGUCACUUACAGAUGGGCCCGCGGCGCAUUAGCUAGUUGGUGAGGUAAUGGCUCACCAAGGCAACGAUGCGUAGCCGACCUGAGAGGGUGAUCGGCCACACUGGGACUGAGACACGGCCCAGACUCCUACGGGAGGCAGCAGUAGGGAAUCUUCCGCAAUGGACGAAAGUCUGACGGAGCAACGCCGCGUGAGUGAUGAAGGUUUUCGGAUCGUAAAACUCUGUUGUUAGGGAAGAACAAGUGCGAGAGUAACUGCUCGCACC
RNAcentral lists this ribosomal RNA (467 nucleotides) under Bacillus sp. '14.2 MW-20'. RNAcentral's name for it is "bacterial SSU rRNA". It matches the Rfam family "Bacterial small subunit ribosomal RNA", at positions 18 to 479 of the family's 1533-position model. The record is from RNAcentral. Lineage: Bacteria; Bacillati; Bacillota; Bacilli; Caryophanales; Bacillaceae.